GACGAACGCUGGCGGCGUGCCUAAUACAUGCAAGUCGAACGCUGAAGGAGGAGCUUGCUUCUCUGGAUGAGUUGCGAACGGGUGAGUAACGCGUAGGUAACCUGCCUGGUAGCGGGGGAUAACUAUUGGAAACGAUAGCUAAUACCGCAUAAUAGUAGAUGUUGCAUGACAUUUGCUUAAAAGGUGCAAUUGCAUCACUACCAGAUGGACCUGCGUUGUAUUAGCUAGUUGGUGGGGUAACGGCUCACCAAGGCGACGAUACAUAGCCGACCUGGGAGGGGGAUCGGCCAAACUGGGACUGGGACACGGCCCAGACUCCUACGGGAGGCAGCAGUAGGGAAUCUUCGGCAAUGGACGGAAGUCUGACCGAGCAACGCCGGGUGAGGGAAGAAGGGUUUCGGAUCGUAAAGCUCUGUUGUAAGAGAAGAACGAGUGUGAGAGUGGAAAGUUCACACUGUGACGGUAUCUUACCAGAAAGGGACGGCUAACUACGUG
RNAcentral lists this ribosomal RNA (495 nucleotides) under uncultured bacterium. RNAcentral describes it as "partial 16S ribosomal RNA". It matches the Rfam family "Bacterial small subunit ribosomal RNA", at positions 28 to 507 of the family's 1533-position model. The record is from RNAcentral.